RNAcentral lists this ribosomal RNA (500 nucleotides) under uncultured bacterium. Its description in RNAcentral is "partial 16S ribosomal RNA". It matches the Rfam family "Bacterial small subunit ribosomal RNA", at positions 28 to 507 of the family's 1533-position model. The record is from RNAcentral.
GACGAACGCUGGCGGCGUGCCUAAUACAUGCAAGUCGAGCGGACUUGAAGGAGUGCUUGCACUCCUGAGAGUUAGCGGCGGACGGGUGAGUAACACGUAGGCAACCUGCCCUCAAGACUGGGAUAACUACCGGAAACGGUAGCUAAUACCGGAUAAUUUAUUACAUAGCAUUAUGUGAUAAUGAAAGACGGAGCAAUCUGUCACUUGGGGAUGGGCCUGCGGCGCAUUAGCUAGUUGGUGGGGUAACGGCCCACCAAGGCGACGAUGCGUAGCCGACCUGGGAGGGUGAACGGCCACACUGGGACUGAGACACGGCCCAGACUCCUACGGGAGGCAGCAGUAGGGAAUCUUCCGCAAUGGGCGAAAGCCUGACGGAGCAACGCCGCGUGAGUGAUGAAGGUUUUCGGACCGUAAAGCUCUGUUGCCAAGGAAGAACGUCUCAUAGAGUAACUGCUAUGAGAGUGACGGUACUUGAGAAGAAAGCCCCGGCUAACUACGUG